Molecule: ribosomal RNA, 253 nt
Filed under: uncultured bacterium
Lineage: Bacteria
Description: partial 16S ribosomal RNA
Rfam family: Bacterial small subunit ribosomal RNA
Source: RNAcentral
UACAGGGGGUGCAAACGUUGCUCGGAAUCAUUGGGCGUAAAGCGCACGUAGGCGGUCUGUUAUGUCGGAUGUGAAAGCCCUUGGCUUAACCGAGGAAGUGCAUCCGAAACUGGCAGGCUAGAGUACUAAAGAGGGUCGCGGAAUUCCCGGUGUAGAGGUGAAAUUCGUAGAUAUCGGGAGGAACACCGGUGGCGAAGGCGGCGACCUGGGUAGAUACUGACGCUGAGGUGCGAAAGCGUGGGGAGCAAACAGG